This 449-nucleotide ribosomal RNA is filed under the name uncultured bacterium. RNAcentral describes it as "partial 16S ribosomal RNA". It matches the Rfam family "Bacterial small subunit ribosomal RNA", at positions 29 to 523 of the family's 1533-position model. The record is from RNAcentral.
AACGAACGCUGGCGGCAGGCCUAACACAUGCAAGUCGAACGCUGUAGCAAUACAGAGUGGCAGACGGGUGCGUAACACGUGAGAAUCUUCCUAUCGGUACGGAAUAGCUCAGGGAAACUUGGGGUAAUACCGCAUACGCCCUUCGGGGGAAAGAUUUAUCGCCGAUAGAUGAGCCCGCGUCUGAUUAGCUAGUUGGUGAGGUAAUGGCUCACCAAGGCAACGAUCAGUAGCUGGUCUGAGAGGAUGACCAGCCACACUGGGACUGAGACACGGCCCAGACUCCUACGGGAGGCAGCAGUGGGGAAUAUUGGACAAUGGGCGCAAGCCUGAUCCAGCCAUGCCGCGCGAGUGACGAAGGUCUUCGGAUUGUAAAGCUCUUUUGGCGGGGACGAUAAUGACGGUACCCGCAGAAUAAGCCCCGGCUAACUUCGUGCCAGCAGCCGCGGUAA